AUUACGAUCAGUAUGAGGGUAAAAUUGAAAAACAUCUCAAGCAUGGUUCGUAAUAUUGGAAUCAUGUACCGUAUUAGUACCUUACCGGUUCGGUAUGGUAUACCUCUGUGCCAAAAUAGCUUUUUUAUCCAUUUUCUCAAUUUUUAUCUCGGUACGCCUCAAUACCAGUCGGUAUGCCUCGAUAUGGAACGGUAUACUUCGGUAGACUUGUACCGACUUGAAUAUAUGUUUCGUACCAGUUUUCUCUCGGUACGGUACGGUAGAGUAUGUCCCGUAUUGGGUAGUACGGGGGCGAUACAGCAGACCUUGAUCUGAAGCUUGCAUCCAAAUUGGAUUUGCUAAUGAGAAGAUGUCAACAAAAAAUAAAGGAUGUCAACAAAAAAUAAAGGCGUGUUGAAAAGAGAAAAGGAAGUGUUUCAGGAAUUUAAUACAAGCCAUAUGUAAUGAAUCAGUAGACAGACUUGCAUUGAUCUAGCAGCUGAUUAAGGCAGAACAAGAAGCGUCAAGAUAACAAAAAGUUAUCUGUAAAUGAGUAUGGGAUACCAAAUAUGGUGUAAAAACAUGUUAAUGGUGACAUGUUGAGGGAAUUUCAAGAAGAAUAUUCGAAAAACUUGAACGUAAAGUGUAAGCUGAACACAGAAACCUAGCAUAGAGGCUAGCACGGAUGACAAGGAGACGGAUGCAAAUUAAUUAAAAAAAAUGUAAUUUCAGUGCAACACUCAUCUAAUAAACAUGACCAGAUAUUUUUUGGGUUUCCACAGUUGUCCAGCAAUAGUGCAUCAUAUUCCUCAAAAAGCACACCACCUUCAUCACUGAAACUAAGGCCAGUGUCAUAAUAUACAACCAUAAAGUUCUGUGGAAUCAUCAAAUUAACACGAAUUUAUAAAAUUGAAUUCAUCAGUUGGUUCUAUCCAAUACAAGGGCAUUUCAGAAUGAUUAAAUUUUUUGGAUGAGAUUGCUGGUUUCUAGAGCAGGCAUGGAGUUAACCUGAUUAUAGAUCCUGAUGGCUACAUAUUACACUGCAGUGUUUCUUUUACAUGUUAUUGUCCAUGUCCUAUGAGAAAUACUUUAUGAAGUUUUUUUUUCAAUUGAAAGAUGUAAAAGCAACCUGCAUUUCUUAAUAUAUUUUCCUUUUCAAAUAGGUCACUGUAGUUAAUUCAA
RNAcentral lists this long non-coding RNA (1161 nucleotides) under Phoenix dactylifera (date palm). RNAcentral describes it as "long non-coding RNA (PDAC_LNC015612)". Lineage: Eukaryota; Viridiplantae; Streptophyta; Magnoliopsida; Arecales; Arecaceae. The record is from RNAcentral.